GCAAGUCGAACGGGGAAAGUACUUCGGUACGAGUACUAGUGGCGCACGGGUGAGUAACGCGUGGAUAAUCUGCCCUUUAGUGGGGAAUAACUUACCGAAAGGUAAGCUAAUACCGCAUAAGACCACAGUUCCUGCGGGAACAGAGGUCAAAGAUUUAUCGCUAAAGGAUGAGUCCGCGUGAGAUUAGCUAGUUGGUGGGGUAAUGGCUCACCAAGGCGACGAUCUCUAACUGGUCUGAGAGGAUGACCAGUCACACUGGGACUGAGACACGGCCCAGACUCCUACGGGAGGCAGCAGUAGGGAAUAUUGCGCAAUGGGGGAAACCCUGACGCAGCGACGCCGCGUGAGUGAUGAAGGCCUUCGGGUCGUAAAACUCUGUCGUAAGGGAAUAACAAAAUGAACGUACCUUACAAGAAAGGACCGGCUAACUUCGUGCCAGCAGCCGCGGUAAUACGAGGGGUCCUAGCGUUGCUCGGAAUCAUUGGGCGUAAAGCGGAUGUAGGCGGACUGCCAAGUCAGAUGUGAAAGCCCCGGGCUCAACCCGGGAAGUGCAUUUGAAACUGGCGGUCUUGAGUAUAGUAGAGGAAGGUAGAAUACCAAGUGUAGUGGUGAAAUACGUAGAUAUUUGGUGGAACACCGGUGGCGAAGGCGGCCUUCUGGACUAUUACUGACGCUCAGAUCCGAAAGCGUGGGGAUCAAACAGGAUUAGAUACCCUGGUAGUCCACGCCGUAAACGAUGGACACUUGGUGUUGGAGGUAUUG
RNAcentral lists this ribosomal RNA (762 nucleotides) under uncultured Bdellovibrio sp. Its description in RNAcentral is "bacterial SSU rRNA". It matches the Rfam family "Bacterial small subunit ribosomal RNA", at positions 57 to 834 of the family's 1533-position model. Lineage: Bacteria; Pseudomonadati; Bdellovibrionota; Bdellovibrionia; Bdellovibrionales; Pseudobdellovibrionaceae. The record is from RNAcentral.